CCUACGGGUGGCAGCAGUGAGGAAUAUUGGUCAAUGGGCGAGAGCCUGAACCAGCCAAGUCGCGGGAAGGAUGAAGGAUCUAUGGUUUGUAAACUUCUUUUAUAGGGGAAUAAAGUGAGGAACGUGUGCCGUUUUGUAUGUACCAUAUGAAUAAGCAUCGGCUAACUCCGUGCCAGCAGCCGCGGUAAUACGGAGGAUGCGAGCUUUAUCCGGAUUUAUUGGGUUUAAAGGGUGCGUAGGGGGGUAAUUAAGUCAGCGGUGAAAGUUUGUGGCUCAACCAUAAAAUUGCCGUUGACACUGGUUGCCUUUAGUAUAUUUGAGGUAGGCUGUAUGCGUGGUGUCGCGG
Molecule: ribosomal RNA, 346 nt
Filed under: uncultured bacterium
Lineage: Bacteria
Description: partial 16S ribosomal RNA
Rfam family: Bacterial small subunit ribosomal RNA
Source: RNAcentral